Molecule: ribosomal RNA, 348 nt
Filed under: uncultured prokaryote
Description: bacterial SSU rRNA
Rfam family: Bacterial small subunit ribosomal RNA
Source: RNAcentral
AGAGUUUGAUCCUGGCUCAGGACGAACGCUGGCGGCGUGCUUAACACAUGCAAGUCGAACGGUGAAGCUCAAGCUUGCUUGGGUGGAUCAGUGGCGAACGGGUGAGUAACACGUGAGCAACCUGCCCCGGACUCUGGAUAAGCGCUGGAAACGGCGUCUAAUACUGGAUAUGACACCAAUCCGCAUGGGUAUGGUGUGGAAAGUUUUCGGUUCUGGGAGUGGCGUCGCGGCCUAUCAGCUUGUUGGUGAGGUAAUGGCUCACCAAGGCGACGACGGGUAGCCGGCCUGAGAGGGCGACCGGCCACACUGGGACGUGAGACACGGCCCACGACUCCUACGGGAGGCGAC